Molecule: non-coding RNA, 88 nt
Organism: Ceratotherium simum simum (southern white rhinoceros)
Lineage: Eukaryota; Metazoa; Chordata; Mammalia; Perissodactyla; Rhinocerotidae
Source: RefSeq, a predicted model, not a curated record
UUAAGGCUAUAUAUUUUCCUCUUAGGACUGCUUUAGUUGUAUCCUACAAAUUUUAAUGUAUUAUGUUUUCAUUGUAAUGAAAUUUUAA